This 310-nucleotide ribosomal RNA is filed under the name uncultured eukaryote. RNAcentral describes it as "partial 18S ribosomal RNA". It matches the Rfam family "Eukaryotic small subunit ribosomal RNA", at positions 1470 to 1796 of the family's 1831-position model. The record is from RNAcentral.
CCCUUAGAUGUUCUGGGCGGCCCGCGCACUACAAUGGCGCUUUCAGCGAGUUCCUAUGUUGAAUUUUCCUGGGUAUUCUUGGAAGCGGCGUCUUGACUUGGGAUAGAUCCUUGUAAUUGUUGGUUUUGAACGAGGAAUUCCUUGUAAUCGCGGUUGAUCAGCUCGCGUUUAAUACGUCCCUGCCCUUUGUACACACCGCCCGUCGCUCCUACCGAUGAAUCGUCCGGUGAAGUUCACAGAGUGGCGGUUCGUGGAGUUGCUCGCGAAGUGAAAUGGACCUCACGAUUUAGAGGAAGGAGAAGUCGUAACA